Molecule: ribosomal RNA, 492 nt
Filed under: uncultured bacterium
Lineage: Bacteria
Description: partial 16S ribosomal RNA
Rfam family: Bacterial small subunit ribosomal RNA
Source: RNAcentral
AGUGAACGCUGGCGGUAGGCCUAACACAUGCAAGUCGAACGGCAGCACAGUAAGAGCUUGCUCUUACGGGUGGCGAGUGGCGGACGGGUGAGGAAUACAUCGGAAUCUACUUUUUCGUGGGGGAUAACGUAGGGAAACUUACGCUAAUACCGCAUACGACCUACGGGUGAAAGCAGGGGAUCUUCGGUCCUUGCGCGAUUGAAUGAGUCGAUGUCGGAUUAGCUAGUUGGCGGGGUAAAGGCCCACCAAGGCGACGAUCCGUAGCUGGUCUGAGAGGAUGAUCAGCCACACUGGAACUGAGACACGGUCCAGACUCCUACGGGAGGCAGCAGUGGGGAAUAUUGGACAAUGGGCGCAAGCCUGAUCCAGCCAUACCGCGUGGGUGAAGAAGGCCUUCGGGUUGUAAAGCCCUUUUGUUGGGAAAGAAAAGCAGCAGGUUAAUACCCCGCUGUUCUGACGGUACCCAAAGAAUAAGCACCGGCUAACUUCGUG